RNAcentral lists this ribosomal RNA (464 nucleotides) under Vreelandella stevensii. Its description in RNAcentral is "partial 16S ribosomal RNA". It matches the Rfam family "Bacterial small subunit ribosomal RNA", at positions 338 to 795 of the family's 1533-position model. Lineage: Bacteria; Pseudomonadati; Pseudomonadota; Gammaproteobacteria; Oceanospirillales; Halomonadaceae. The record is from RNAcentral.
CCUAGGGUGGCUGCAGUGGGGAAUAUUGGACAAUGGGCGAAAGCCUGAUCCAGCCAUGCCGCGUGUGUGUAGAAGGCCUUCGGGUUGUAAAGCACUUUCAGUGGGGAAGAAAGCCUUGGGGCUAAUACCCUCGAGGAAGGACAUCACCCACAGAAGAAGCACCGGCUAACUCCGUGCCAGCAGCCGCGGUAAUACGGAGGGUGCGAGCGUUAAUCGGAAUUACUGGGCGUAAAGCGCGCGUAGGCGGUCUGAUAAGCCGGUUGUGAAAGCCCCGGGCUCAACCUGGGAACGGCAUCCGGAACUGUCAGGCUAGAGUGCAGGAGAGGAAGGUAGAAUUCCCGGUGUAGCGGUGAAAUGCGUAGAGAUCGGGAGGAAUACCAGUGGCGAAGGCGGUCUUCUGGACUGACACUGACGCUGAGGUGCGAAAGCGUGGGUAGCAAACAGGAUUAGAUACCCGUGUAGUC